RNAcentral lists this ribosomal RNA (405 nucleotides) under uncultured bacterium. Its description in RNAcentral is "bacterial SSU rRNA". It matches the Rfam family "Bacterial small subunit ribosomal RNA", at positions 355 to 776 of the family's 1533-position model. The record is from RNAcentral.
UGGGGAAUCUUGCGCAAUGGGCGAAAGCCUGACGCAGCAACGCCGCGUGUGGGAUGAAGGCCCUCGGGUUGUAAACCACUUUCAGCAGGAACGAAAAUGACGGUACCUGCAGAAGAAGGUCCGGCCAACUACGUGCCAGCAGCCGCGGUAACACGUAGGGACCAAGCGUUGUCCGGAUUUAUUGGGCGUAAAGAGCUCGUAGGCGGUUUGGUAAGUCGGGUGUGAAAACUCAGGGCUUAACCCUGAGACGCCACCCGAUACUGCCAUGACUUGAGUCCGGUAGGGGAGUGGGGAAUUCCUGGUGUAGCGGUGAAAUGCGCAGAUAUCAGGAGGAACACCGGUGGCGAAGGCGCCACUCUGGGCCGGUACUGACGCUGAGGAGCGAAAGCGUGGGUAGCAAACAGG